RNAcentral lists this long non-coding RNA (2958 nucleotides) under Anolis carolinensis (green anole). RNAcentral describes it as "lncRNA (ENSACAG00000032208.2)". Lineage: Eukaryota; Metazoa; Chordata; Lepidosauria; Squamata; Anolidae. The record is from RNAcentral.
CAGGUCAGGUAAUAGCUGUGGGGAGGGAAAGUCCAUCAUGGGAGGGAAAGCUAGAUUGGCCACCUCAUCACAUUAUCAAAUUUCUCUGCCAUAGAAUAUUUUGCUGACACAGCCAGCAAGGAUCCCGCUGGAUCCCAUCACAAGACACACAAGAUAGGGAACUCUGAACAUGGGAGACUACCUGAAUUCAGAUCUAAAGUGCUGGGGACAGCAUGGGAGCAAGCCAGAAAGUGCUCAAGCUGCCUUGGGGUGCAACAGUAUUCCAGAUGAAAUGACUUCUUUGAGAUGCUGGAUGAAGAGGGGCCACCACUUUGUUUUUCUGGGAGAUUUAUGAAUAAGAAGAGUUCAAAAGUUUAUUAUCUUCCUUCCUGAUGUGUGUAAUAUAUGAGCUUGAAUUCAGACUUAGAAAGAACAAGAACUGACUUGAAAAUACUGAAAACUUGUUGCAUAAAAUAUUAGUCAGGUCAUCAUGAAUUUUACAGAAACCUAUCUGAAUAGAGUUAGAUUUGCCAAGCAGCUCAGUCUAUGUGUACAGUUCUACCAUCAGACAUAAUCCUUGCUAAAGUCACUGGGAUUUUCAUCUGAGUAACUUUGCAUAGAAUUUCAGUCUUGUCUGUGAAAUAUGCAAAUAAGCCCUAAAUUAAAUCAAGCAAAAAGUUUGUAUGGAUUCAGAUGAGUACAUUCAUUUAUAUAAACAGGUUAUGGAAAAACUCUCUGGAAAGAUUCGUAAUGGCCCUAUAUUUCAAUUCUACAAUUACAGAAUUGUACAAAUGUGGGGGAAACUCAAAGAUCACUGAAAGAGGUCCAGUGUAAACAAUCUUUGAGUUGCCCCUUCAGCGCUAUGACUGUUGAAAUUACAACAAUAAAGAUAAAACAGCAGAUUAAUAACCUGUAGGCCUUGGAACCAUUUUGUUAUAACUACAAUGUUUUGUACAAGCCAAGAGAAGAUAUAAAUCUGUGCUUUUAAAUCAAGUAAUAGUUCUUCAGAGUAAGCCUCAUAGUGUGUAUGUUUGUUGGGUUAAAGCUAGGUUAAAUCCCUUUCUUAAGUCUCAAGUAUUAAGGACUAAUAAAAAUUAGUUACUUGUAAUCAGCAUCCAGCCAAGUGGACAGUAAAGUGUAUACAGUAUACUUUAUGGCAACAAGCCAUGGCUGGCUUCAAACCAGGUUCUCUCUGUACAUCAAUAAGCAGCAAUUAAGUGCAAACAGAGUGGGCUUCCAAUUCUGUCAUUUAUCGCAUUGUAAAGAUGUAUUUUUGUGUUUAUUCUAAAAAGCCAAGAGCACAAGCCUGACUGAAUGCUGACCUCAGAACCACAGGAUUUUGUGGCUUUAUGCUACGCUGAGGGAGAACCAAGAUUGACAAGGUAUACAGCACUAUAGAUUGCUUCUUUUUGUUACAGGCACUUGGCUAAGGGAUUUUGCAUCUUAAGAUUUCACUCAAAUCACAUUGUAGAUUCAGUAAAGGAAAGUGGCUUUUCUGUGACAUAAUGCCUUUCAGCGUGUAAACCAAAGACUUCAGCACAUAUGAAACAAAGCCAGGGUGAAUGUAGGGCUGUUCACAAACACUGUCUUUCUCAUUGUCAACAAAGAGCAGCAUCUUACUAGCAUUAAAUCAGAACUUCUGUAUGUUACAUCACAGACUAUCUCAGCUAUCUUCACAAUGACAAUAACCAAUGAACUAAACCUAAGUAUCUCUCUCGCUGCAGAUGAGGGGCUGUGGCUGAGAGAUAGUGCCUAAUACAUACAGGAAUUUCUCUUGAUCUGUAUUCUCAGCUCGGGCUGUGGCGCAGGCUGGAGAGCAAGCCAGCUGUAACCAGCUGCAAUGAAUCACUCUGACCAGGAGGUCAUGAGUUCGAGGCCCGCUCGGAGCCUAUGUUUCUCUUGUCUUUGUUCUAUGUUAAAAGGCAUUUAAUGUUUGCCUAUAUGUGUAAUGUGAUCCGCCCUGAGUCCCCUUCGGGGUGAGAAGGGCGGAAUAUAAAAGCUGUAAAUAAAUAAAUAAAUAAAUUCUUACAUUUCAUGAGCAUAAACUAUUACUGCAGAUAGAAGUCAUUUAUUUAUUGCAUAUAUUUCUAUUCCACUCUUCUUACCCGAGGAGGACUAAGAAUGGCUUGCAAAUAAGGCAAGAUUCAGUGCUGCAAUAUAAAAUACAAAAAUAAACAACAACAUAUAAGACAAUAAAACCAAUAAAACAUAUAAACAGUUAAUACAGAUUAAAACAUAAUACCGCAUCACAAGUCAUUGUUCCUGGUGCUACAUUUCAGUCGAGUUCUAUAUGGUAUAUUCUACAUUCCAUAAUUAGACUACACCCCAAAUUCUUGUUCUCAGAGCCAGAUCUUUAGCUUUUUUCUAAAUGUCAGGAGGAAGGAGGCCAAUUUGAUGUCACUGGGAAGGGAGUUCCAUAGUUGAGGGGCCACCACUGAGAAGGCCCUGUCUGUCAUCCGCACCAGUUGUGUUAGCAAGGAGGGUGGGACCGAGAGCAAAGCCUCUUGAGAGAUCUUAAAGCUCUAGUUGAUUUAUGGGCAGAGUUAUGUUUGGACAGGUAAGUUGGGCCGGAACCAUUUAGAGCUUUAUAGGUUAAAGCCAGCACUUUGAAUUUUGCUCGGUAGCAGACUGGCAGCCAGUGGAGCUGACAUAACAGGAGGGUUGCUUGCUCCCUGUACACAGCCCCGGUGAGCAGCCUGACUGCUGCCCAUUGGACUACUUGGAGCUUCUGAACAGUCUACAAAGGCAGCCCCACAUAGAGUGUGUGCAAGUAGUCUAUGUGAGAUGUAAUCAAGGGAUGGACUACUGUGGCCAAGUCUGGCUUCUUAAGUUACAGGCGCAGUUGGUGCACAAAUUGUAAUGAUGCGAAAGCUCUCUUGGUUACCUCUGAAACCUAAGGGUUCCAAGCUCAGUGAUGAAUCCAAGAGGACUCCCAAGCUGCAGACCUGUGUCUUCAGGGGGAGUAUGACCCAUCUAACA